UACAGAGGUCUCAAGCGUUGUUCGGAUUCAUUGGGCGUAAAGGGUGCGUAGGUGGCGGGGUAAGUCAGGUGUGAAAUCUCGGAGCUCAACUCCGAAACUGCACUUGAUACUGCCUUGCUCGAGUACUGGAGAGGAGAUUGGAAUUUACGGUGUAGCAGUGAAAUGCGUAGAUAUCGUAAUGAAGACCAGUGGCGAAGGCGAAUCUCUGGACAGUUACUGACACUGAGGCACGAAGGCCAGGGGAGCAAACAGG
RNAcentral lists this ribosomal RNA (253 nucleotides) under uncultured bacterium. Its description in RNAcentral is "partial 16S ribosomal RNA". It matches the Rfam family "Bacterial small subunit ribosomal RNA", at positions 524 to 776 of the family's 1533-position model. The record is from RNAcentral.